AGCCCUGUCUUCUCCACCUAGGGAGAGAGACCCCUCGAGCUCAUCAAGCUCCUUCUGCGACUGAUCAGAGAUCCCAUCGUGAGUCCAGCUCCUGGUCCCGUGCUCCGAAUAUCGGUCCCCGGCAGCGUGGUAUCUCACAGAAUCUCUGAGCAAUGGAGAGCUAAUCAAAGACAAGUUUAAUAGGAGAAGAAAAUACUUGGAUUGGGAGGAUGGCUGAAAAGUCCCAUUGAACAAGGCCCUCAAAUGGAGUUCCUGUGGAGUGGUCACCUUUUUGAUGACUUCAACUGGGAACAUCAGUACGGAACCAUUGCUGGGUGUUCAUUCCAUCACCCCUUCCUAUGUCCCUGCUCAGGUCACCCUGCGUCUGUCUAUAUGCAUUGCUACCAGUUUAGACAGUGAGUUACAUUUAGUGCAUUUGUGCAUUGUUCUUUAUUGUAUCCAUGGUAUCUAGCACAAUUCUUGUUCUUGUUAGAGCUUGGUAAAUGUCAUUGAUUAAUCCAGGGCAGAUUAUCUCUCUGUCUCUCUAUUUUUGUGAAUCCUCUGCAUAAACAAUUUAUGACA
Molecule: long non-coding RNA, 561 nt
Filed under: Pongo abelii (Sumatran orangutan)
Lineage: Eukaryota; Metazoa; Chordata; Mammalia; Primates; Hominidae
Description: lincRNA
Source: RNAcentral